RNAcentral lists this non-coding RNA (22 nucleotides) under Arabidopsis thaliana (thale cress). Lineage: Eukaryota; Viridiplantae; Streptophyta; Magnoliopsida; Brassicales; Brassicaceae. The record is from RNAcentral.
UCCGAGUACCGCCGUCCACCGC